UGGCAGUGUGGUUAGCUGGUU
This 21-nucleotide non-coding RNA is filed under the name Drosophila melanogaster (fruit fly). Lineage: Eukaryota; Metazoa; Arthropoda; Insecta; Diptera; Drosophilidae. RNAcentral also lists the same sequence under 4 other names. The record is from RNAcentral.